Molecule: long non-coding RNA, 3878 nt
Organism: Triticum aestivum (bread wheat)
Lineage: Eukaryota; Viridiplantae; Streptophyta; Magnoliopsida; Poales; Poaceae
Exons: 11
Source: RefSeq, a predicted model, not a curated record
AGGUCUCGUGCCCUCGAGCAAGAAACAGUCGCCCGACUCUGUGCCCUCCUUCGCCCGCCGCCGCCCUUCGUCCCUUCACCGCCACCGCUCCAUCCCUUCGCCGCCGCCCUGGCCAACGAGCCUCCCUCGAUCUAUUUCCUAAGAUCUCUCAAGACCGCCCCAGCCCCGAGACAGGCAGCCACCGAGAUCCGAGAUUGGAGAUGAGCCGCCUCCGCUGAGGAACGAGAGGAGCCGUCGCCUCCAGGUCGUCGUUGUGCCACACCGCCGCCUCCAGGUCGCCGCCGUCACGCACUGCCUCAGGUGUUCGUUUUGCACAUGUUCAUAGUGGGCAACCUCGAGGUCAUCGUCACUUCGAGCGCGGCGAGAUCCUCGAGGUCGUCAUCAUCACAGACAAGGGCACUGGCAGAUCCAAUGGCGGCGGAUUCGAGGCGGAGGCGGCCAUUAGGGCGUGCUUCAGUCCGUACCCGAUGAUUGGCAGCCGGAGGGCAACUGCAACCUCGCAUGCCUCGGGUCCAGAGGUCCAAGGCACCACAACCAACUGCCUCUUCAGCCAUAUGCUGGGUGUCCGUGUUGAACGUAGCAGAUGGUUGCCCUUCAAGCAUCAACAAAUUGGAAAUUUCAAGCCCUGAUGAGAUUACAAGCAGGGUAGAAAGGGAAUCACCACCAUCACGCCAAAACAUUGAAGGUGAAUAAGUGAACCAUUAUUUAAGUAAAUAGACGAAUCAUAUUUUGUUAGAACUAACCAGUUGCUGCUAAUAUAAUCCUCUCCAGGAAGAUCAGUUUCAGACAAUAUAAUCUGCUAUUUGCUUUCUAAUUUCUAUGUAUUUAAGCAUGUUCAAACUCAGUACAAUUGUACAAAUGGAUAUAUUUUGAUUUGGUGACUUGCUAGAGACGAUUGUUCUGGACAGAACCUGGACCUUAUGAUAUCUACCUAUAUAUAUGUUUCUGGCCGCAUGCCUACUUAUUCUCUUAAGGCCACAGUAGGACCGAUCGACACUAGAUAUAUCUAAUAACUGUAUCAUGGUUUUCGCAAAAAAAUUUAAAAAAUAACUAUCAUGGGAUCACAUGCCAUUCUUUUUGCUGAAAAAUCACCUGGCUUUAUUGGAAAUGAAUUACCAGGACAGAUCCUGUGCACAUUAUGCUUGGUUAACACCUUUCAUUUAUCACAAACUGAUGGGGAAUAAACACUAAGUAUGCAUGUCUUUCUAUCCUUCUGAUCAUAGCCAUCUUUGGUGUCAAGUGAUAUUAAAAUUCUGAAACUACACACACAUAGUUUAGGGGUUGUUCAUACAAUAAUCUGCAUAAGUAUGUGUCUAUGAAAUUAGCAGCAGUGGUUGUUCCUUUAGGUUGCUAGAAAUGCUUUUAGCUACAACAUUAUUUCUGUCAAAAACGUUCCAGCUGCCACAUAUGUACUCGUUUCAUUGUGUAGCGUAUUUCCGAAAAUGACAAUUCCUACGAUUCAAAGUUUUUGGACAAAGUUUGAAACUCGAAGGACGACUGCCGUAGUAGGAUGAAGAAAUUAUGUCGCGCACUGGAGGGUGUUGCCGUCGGUCGUGCGUUAGGCGUCUGUUCUACUGAAAGUCGCUCCCAGGAGGGCGUCCAUGGUCUAUGCCUCGAGAAGCAAAGAAGGGACUACAACUACAUCAUUGACACAGCAGCCGAGCAGAGCAUGAAAGCAUGUCGUUGAUACAAAUAUUCAAUUGCCACGGCCAUUGAUACAACAGCGGGGCAGAUCAUGAAUGUCAGAGACACGGUGGAGGUGACGCUACCUUUCUCGUCUUGGCAUCAUGCAGAUACUGGUAGUUUAGAUGUUAUUUGCCACACCGUGGAGAUCUCAUGUUCAAGCCCAUCGGAAGUGCAUAAUUUUGGUGAAGAUCGAUGUAAAUGAUUUUACUUGAGCUGAUACUUCUCCUCCGGUCUCAUUUACCAUCAAUAUUGGAAUUGGAUGUCGUUCCUAUUACACAACAAAAUGGGCAAGGUUAGGUUGCGGUUCAGUGUGGCAUUCUGGCAUAUGUUUUGGGGUACUGGAGGAGAUCCUUUUGGUGCACCUACAAAGAACUGGCCUUGGGAGGAUGGCACAAAUUCCCUGGCCAUGGCUAAGAGAAGAAGUAUGGGAAUUACCUGAUCUUGUGUCUUAGGUCCAUGGCUGGAAUCAACAACUUAUGCUUCGAUUUCUGUUUCGGUGAUAUCUCAAUUCGAGUUCAUGAAGAAGCUUGGAGUUGACAGGUGGUGCUUCCAUGACAGGGACAUCGCCCCUGAUGGGAAAACACUCGCGCACAAGGAAUAUGGUUAUUGAUGGUUUACGCCCCGGCUGCGCCCACAUCGUCCCGACACCAAGUUCAAGACCAAGUUCUAACCCUUGUACCCAAUCUACCUCCAUGGAUCGUGUCUCUCACUACCCAAGAGCAUCAAUUCAACUCAACAGAUUGACAAAAGAGAUGAACCUAGAGUUUGAGGCUUGGGUAGUGUGGACAUUGACCUGAUGAUGAGUGUUGUAUGGUGGUCAAGUGGUGCCACUUCCCCUUGCCACACGCUGCUUAGUCUGCUCAUUGAAGGUGCUCUCUGUUGGUGUUUGGCUGCUGCUGCUACUGUAGGUCAAGGGCAUGCUAUGAUUACUUUGGUGGAGACAUAUUUAAGAAUGGUGUUAUCACUGAAUGCCCUUGAUGUCUGCCAAGAAGAAGGGAGCAAGCGGCAGAAGAUUAUGAUAUUGCUGCUAUUGGGAGAUGCAGUAAAAUAUGGACAAGUUCCUGUAUUUUAUGGAAGGUGUAGUAUUGAAGCUUCUUGCACUGAUCUAGAAUGGAUCUUGACUUCGCCCAAGAGUGAGGUAUAUUGAGAUUAAUGGCACACAGUUGCAUACUGAUAGGAGAACUGGUUACGGUUUGUCAUUAUUUCCUUGCAUCUACAGAUGUGAAAGCGCAUGUUACAUAAGAAAUCAUUAGCUCUGAAGCAUACUCACAUUGGACCAAGAACUAGGCGAGGUUCAGACUUCAGAGAAAUGAUAACAAGUCUCCUUUUCAUUCGAGCGGGGCGAUGAGGGAAAGAACUGAUUGUGGUGAAAGUCAGUUUAGUGCAUCAAGGAUUGGAGGUUCUGAGAUUUGCAAGAGGUGAUGGAGGAUGUUUAGUUACUUUGGCUCCUGAUAGAGUACUGGAAGAUGGGUACAAGCAUAAGCUUAUUCAAAAUCUGAAGUUCCUGACUGCAUGAGACAUGUACUCCCUCUGUUCCUAAAUAUAAUUCCUUUUAGAGUUUCCACUAUAGAGACUAGAUUCAGAUGUAUAUAGACGCCUUUUAGAGUAUAUGUUCGCUCAUUUUGCUCUGUAUGUAGUCUAUAGUGAAAUCUCCAAAAGACUUAUAUUUAGGAACGGAUGGAGUAUUUUGUAAUCUUUUUUUCUUCUUCUUUUUCAUUUUCUUCUACUUAUUUUCAGUUUGAACGAACGGAGGGAACAACAUGAAGAUGGGUAGCACUAUACAGUUUUAUAGCAGUAACAUUUUGCGAGCUUCUUAAAUUUGGUAUCUAUGAAUAGUUGAUUUGUUUGUUUUGGUUUAUAGCCUUGUAGAUGUUCACCUCUCUGCCAGAUUUGCAUAAUGGAAUGUCGUCUGGUGUAUUCGAUGGGCAGCUCAGCUUGCACGUGAAUUGGACGUGGCAAAGCUUAUCUUGGAGCAGACUCAAAAACAGUGGCGGCUAAAUUAAGAAGCUCGGAAAUUGAUAGAUCAAUCUAUGGCCUAUUGCUGAGGAGGUAAAGGAGUGCAUGCCAUCAAGAGAGGAGUUUCAGGGUGGUAUGGGUGAGAUGCUUGACUAAUGGAGCUUCUCUUUGGCUAACUAAAGAGGAUUGUGCGAAUAAGUUAUGUGAAACUUGGGCCAGGUACAUAUCAGAUCGUA